GACUUUAUAGUUUUAAAAUAAAACAUUAAUUUUGUAAAUUAAUAAUGAUUAUAUUUCUAAAGUCU
RNAcentral lists this transfer RNA (65 nucleotides) under Osmia pedicornis. Its description in RNAcentral is "tRNA-Thr". The record is from RNAcentral. Lineage: Eukaryota; Metazoa; Arthropoda; Insecta; Hymenoptera; Megachilidae.